Asparagus officinalis (garden asparagus) is the source of this 1302-nucleotide long non-coding RNA. RefSeq lists it as uncharacterized. The transcript has 3 exons. The record is from RefSeq and is a predicted model, not a curated record. Lineage: Eukaryota; Viridiplantae; Streptophyta; Magnoliopsida; Asparagales; Asparagaceae.
UUUCUCUCUCUCUCUCUCUCUCUCUCUCUCUCUCUCUCUCUCUCACACACACACAUUCCCCAUUUUCACAGAGAGCAGACCUUAAUCUUGAUCUCGCCAUUGCCGAAAUUUUCCAGUAGAAUGAAAGAAAUUUCACUUGAACCUUAAUCAUUGAUGAGAAAGAGAGAAAGAGAGGGGCAUAAGAUCAUGGUUUUCAAGAAUCUGAGAGACGAUGAGUAUCUUCUCUACGUUGCCAUUUGCAUGGUGGGUUUGCCCGUCGAGGUUCAGGUCAAGGAUGGAUCUUUAUACUCUGGGAUCCUUCACACUGACUCCUUUGAUAAGAAUUGUGGUAAAUUUAAUUAGAUUCUUAUCAUUUGAGUGGAGAUCUCAACUGGGAUUGGCUUCUCUUUCUCGGAUCCUACUUUUUCAGAAAUGGGUUUUGGUUAUUGGAUCCAAAUCUCAAAUGGGUUUUUGUCAUUUGGGAAAUUUCAUUAUUUUGAUUGUUGUGUUGAAUGUGAUUUUACCGAUUGCAGUAUGAAUUAAAUGCAUUGUGUGUUCUUUUUUUUAAUGAUUCUCUUGCAUUGAAUUGAUUAUUUAUUUCACUAACAUUGAGGCCAACUUUUUAUUUGCAACAGUAUGUAUUCAUUUGCAUCAUUUUAUUUGUUAGCUCCAUCACCUAACAGUUGGGCAUCCAAUUUUAUGUGGUCAUAUGAUAACCCAUUUUUAUCUGACACGGUAGGAACUGUAACUUUUCUCUAGGAGAGGUAAUUAGUUUUUUUGGUAUGCAUGAUAUAAAUCUUUUAUUUUACUCAGGCUUCAGCAAAGAAAGCGAUAGAUUUCUUGCCAUUUCUACAAAAAAUUAGAAGGCUUCCCGCUAUGGUUGAAUAUGUCCUUAGUGGACAUCGUUUUAAAUUUCUUAUUCCCAAGGAAACUUGCAGCAUUGCUUUCACAUUCUCUGGUGUCAGGUGCCCAGGUCGAGAUGAGCCCUUUUCAGAUGAAGCUAUUGCAUUAAUGAGAAGGAAGAUAAUGCAGCGGGAAGUAGAGAUUGAAGUUGAAACAGUUGAUAGAGCUGGCACUUUCCUGGGUUCUCUAUGGGAGUCUAAGACAAAUAUGGUCGUGGCUCUUCUCCAAGCUGGAUUGGCAAAGCUUCAAAAUUCCUUCGCUUCAGUCAGGAUUCCAGAUGCCCACCUUCUUGCACGGGCUGAACAAUCGGCAAUAUAGCAGAGACUGAAGGUGUGGGAGAACUAUGUUGAAGGACAGGAAGUUGCUAAUGGAUCUUCCACCAAUUCAAAACAGAAGGAUGUGCUCGAGAGUUUAAAUGGU